AUUGAACGCUGGCGGCAUGCUUUACACAUGCAAGUCGAACGGCAGCGCGGGCUUCGGCCUGGCGGCGAGUGGCGAACGGGUGAGUAAUACAUCGGAACGUGCCCAGUAGUGGGGGAUAGCUCGGCGAAAGCCGGAUUAAUACCGCAUACGACCUGAGGGUGAAAGCGGGGGAUCUUCGGACCUCGCGCUAUUGGAGCGGCCGAUGGCAGAUUAGCUAGUUGGUGGGGUAAAGGCCUACCAAGGCGACGAUCUGUAGCUGGUCUGAGAGGACGACCAGCCACACUGGGACUGAGACACGGCCCAGACUCCUACGGGAGGCAGCAGUGGGGAAUUUUGGACAAUGGGCGAAAGCCUGCUCCAGCAAUGCCGCGUGUGUCAUGAAGGCCUUCGGGUUGUAAAGCACUUUUGGCGGGAACGAAAAGGACUGUGCCAAUACCACGGUUCGAUGACGGUACCCGCAGAAUAAGCACCGGCUAACUACGUG
Molecule: ribosomal RNA, 484 nt
Filed under: uncultured bacterium
Lineage: Bacteria
Description: partial 16S ribosomal RNA
Rfam family: Bacterial small subunit ribosomal RNA
Source: RNAcentral